AGGGACUAUGCUCCAACUUCAGGAUCUUAUUCACUCUGCUCUGCUGUACUCUGGGACCUUAGAGAAGAAAAUGCCUACAGUCAAGAAUGUAAGCCUGUUUUUCCAGAAUCUGCUUUCUCCAGAAACUACCAUUCUGCAAUUUCAUGGAUGUCACUACCAAACAAGCAUGGAUGGCCCUGUACCAUCAAUGGAAUGGUUCUUUGCCUCAGUCCUGGCAUUUCAGCUCCCAUUUUCAUGCUCUGGUGAAGAAGGUCAUAAAUAUGAUUUGCUAUCUGGCUUGUCAUUUCUUUGAAUUGUCAACAUUUAGUAAGGAUUUCCCUUGGGAAUUUCUUCUGUCCAAAAUGGCACCAAGGAUGCCAAGCAUGGGCUUUACACGCCUCCUUUAAAUGUGAAUUUGGACAAUAAAAAAAAUUUUAAAAAAAA
Non-coding RNA from Callorhinus ursinus (northern fur seal), 423 nucleotides. The record is from RefSeq and is a predicted model, not a curated record. Lineage: Eukaryota; Metazoa; Chordata; Mammalia; Carnivora; Otariidae.